GAUGAACGCUAGCGGCAGGCCUAACACAUGCACGUCGAGGGGUAUAAAAGAGCUUGCUUUUUUAGAGACCGGCAAACGGGUGCGGAACACGUACGCAAUCUGCCCUUAUCACGGGGAUAGCCCAGAGAAAUCUGGAUUAAUACCCGAUAGUAUUAUAAUAAGGCAUCUUGUUGUAAUUAAAGCUAUGGCGGAUAAGGAUGAGCGUGCGCAAGAUUAGCUAGUUGGUGAGGUAACGGCUCACCAAGGCGACGAUCUUUAGCUGAUGUGAGAGCAUGAUCAGCCACACGGGCACUGAGACACGGGCCCGACUCCUACGGGAGGCAGCAGUGAGGAAUAUUGGUCAAAUGGACGAAGUCUGAACCAGCCAUGCCGCGUGAAGGAU
Molecule: ribosomal RNA, 382 nt
Filed under: uncultured bacterium
Lineage: Bacteria
Description: bacterial SSU rRNA
Rfam family: Bacterial small subunit ribosomal RNA
Source: RNAcentral